RNAcentral lists this ribosomal RNA (278 nucleotides) under Klebsiella quasipneumoniae subsp. similipneumoniae. RNAcentral's name for it is "partial 23S ribosomal RNA". It matches the Rfam family "Bacterial large subunit ribosomal RNA", at positions 1634 to 1895 of the family's 2925-position model. The record is from RNAcentral. Lineage: Bacteria; Pseudomonadati; Pseudomonadota; Gammaproteobacteria; Enterobacterales; Enterobacteriaceae.
ACAUCAAAUCGUACCCCAAACCGACACAGGUGGUCAGGUAGAGAAUACCAAGGCGCUUGAGAGAACUCGGGUGAAGGAACUAGGCAAAAUGGUGCCGUAACUUCGGGAGAAGGCACGCUGGUGUGUAGGUGAAGUCCCUGCGGAUGGAGCUGAGACCAGUCGAAGAUACCAGCUGGCUGCAACUGUUUAUUAAAAACACAGCACUGUGCAAACACGAAAGUGGACGUAUACGGUGUGACGCCUGCCCGGUGCCGGAAGGUUAAUUGAUGGGGUUAUCC